Molecule: ribosomal RNA, 857 nt
Filed under: uncultured bacterium
Lineage: Bacteria
Description: bacterial SSU rRNA
Rfam family: Bacterial small subunit ribosomal RNA
Source: RNAcentral
UACGUAGGGGGCGAGCGUUGUCCGGAUUCAUUGGGCGUAAAGAGCUCGUAGGCGGUUUGGUAAGUCGGGUGUGAAACCUCCAGGCUCAACCUGGAGACGCCACUUGAUACUGCCAUGACUCGAGUCCGGUAGGGGACCAUGGAAUUCCUGGUGUAGCGGUGAAAUGCGCAGAUAUCAGGAGGAACACCAGUAGCGAAGGCGGUGGUCUGGGCCGGUACUGACGCUGAAGAGCGAAAGCGUGGGGAGCGAACAGGAUUAGAUACCCUGGUAGUCCACGCCGUAAACGUUGGGCACUAGGUGUGGGGACCUAUCGACGGUUUCCGUGCCGCAGCUAACGCAUUAAGUGCCCCGCCUGGGGAGUACGGCCGCAAGGCUAAAACUCAAAGGAAUUGACGGGGGCCCGCACAAGCGGCGGAGCAUGUGGCUUAAUUCGAAGCAACGCGAAGAACCUUACCUGGGCUUGACAUGUGGGUUAAGGCGUGGAGACACGCUGACCUUCGGGUCCCACACAGGUGGUGCAUGGCUGUCGUCCGCUCGUGUCGUGAGAUGUUGGGUUAAGUCCCGCAACGAGCGCAACCCUUGUCCUAUGUUGCCAGCGGGUAAUGCCGGGGACUCGUAGGAGACUGCCGGGGUCAACUCGGAGGAAGGUGGGGAUGAAGUCAAGUCAUCAUGCCCCUUACGUCCAGGGCUGCACACAUGCUACAAUGGCCGGUACAAAGGGCUGCUAUCCCGCGAGGGUGAGCGAAUCCCAAAAAGCCGGUCUCAGUUCGGAUCGUAGUCUGCAACUCGACUGCGUGAAGUCGGAGUCGCUAGUAAUCCCGGAUCAGCAACGCCGGGGUGAAUACGUUCCCGGGCCU